GGAAGAUAAUGACGGUAGCCAUAGAAGAAAGCCCCGGCUAACUAUCGUGCCAGCAGCCGCGGUAAUAAGUAGGGGGCGAGCGUUGUCUGGAAUUAUUGGGGGUAAAGGGUUGGUAGGCGGUAAUACAUGUUAGAUGUGAAAUGUUGUGGGUUAACCACAUCAAGCAUCCGAAACUGUAUAAGUUGAGUGGAGGAGAGGUAAGGGGAAUUCUUAGUGUAGCGGUGAAAUGUGUAGAUAUUUGGAAGAAUACCAGUAGGGAAGGGGCAUCAGUGGCCUCUAAUUGACGCUGAGGGGCGAAAGGGUGGGUAGCACAAAGGAGUAGAUACCCUGGUAGUCCACGCACUGAACGCCAAGAGCGAGGGGUGGGGAGUCAAAUCUAGUUGCAGUAAGUUCUCGCAAUAAGCACUCCGCCUGGGGAGUAGGCGCGCAAGCAGGAAAGUCAAAUGAAAUUGACGGGGAUCCGCACAAGCACCGGAGCAUGAGGUUAAUUCGAAGCACCGAGAAGAACCUUACCCGGACUUGCCAUAUUAGUUCCAAAGGUAGAGAUACAUUAUUUCUUUGGAACACUAAUACAGGUGGUGCAUGGUUGUCUGUCAGCUGGUUUUGUGAGAUGUUUGAGUUAGCUCCCGCACCGAGCGCCACCCCUAUCUUUAUUUCCCUGCUUUUCGGAGGGGACCUAUAGCCAGCCGUCUAAUAAGAAAUCGGAGGAAGGAUCGGCCGACGUCAAAUCAUCACCCCUUAUAUCUCCUGGGCUACACACGUCCUACAAUUGUCGUUACAAAGAGCAUCUCCACAGUGAUGUCACAGCCAGAUCUCAAAAAGGUGAUCUCAGUUCUGACCGUUCUCGUGCAAUCUAGAGUACAUGAAGAUGGCGCACGCUCGCUACGUAAUCGCAAAUCAGAAUGUUGCGGUGAACCAGUUCCCGUCUUUUGUCAUCACCGCCCGUCA
RNAcentral lists this ribosomal RNA (948 nucleotides) under uncultured bacterium. Its description in RNAcentral is "bacterial SSU rRNA". It matches the Rfam family "Bacterial small subunit ribosomal RNA", at positions 461 to 1399 of the family's 1533-position model. The record is from RNAcentral.